AGAGUGAACGCUGGCGGCAGGCCUAAUACAUGCAAGUCGAACGGCAGCACGGCAGAGCUUGCUCUGUGGGUGGCGAGUGGCGGACGGGUGAGGAAUACAUGGGAAUCUGCCCAGUCGUGGGGGAUAACGUAGGGAAACUUACGCUAAUACCGCAUGCGCCCUUCGGGGGAAAGCCGGGGACCUUCGGGCCUCGCGCCAUUAGAUGAGCCUAGGUCGGAUUAGCUAGUUGGUGAGGUAAUGGCUCACCACGGCGACGAUCCGUAACUGGUCUGAGAGGAUGAUCAGUCACACUGGAACUGAGACACGGUCCAGACUCCUACGGGAGCAGCAGUGGGAAUAUUGGACAA
Molecule: ribosomal RNA, 347 nt
Filed under: uncultured soil bacterium
Lineage: Bacteria
Description: bacterial SSU rRNA
Rfam family: Bacterial small subunit ribosomal RNA
Source: RNAcentral